UGGUCAAGAUUUUGCUAAAUUGAAAUACACUGAUGCAUAUCUCCUACCAAUUCAGAGGGGUGAAUUCCAUCUUGACUCACACACCGACUUGAUAAGUACUUGACUUGAUAAGUACUGAUCAUCACGUCGCAGCCACACAAAUGUCUGGCCUCUGCGGAUCAUCCACACGAAGCUCCCGUCUGAUCAGCUCCUCACGAAUGCUAGUUCGUGAUUUCACCCUU
This 221-nucleotide long non-coding RNA is filed under the name Elaeis guineensis (African oil palm). Its description in RNAcentral is "long non-coding RNA (EGUI_LNC068930)". The record is from RNAcentral. Lineage: Eukaryota; Viridiplantae; Streptophyta; Magnoliopsida; Arecales; Arecaceae.